UAAUACAGGGGGAGCAAGCGUUGUUCGGAAUCACUGGGCGUAAAGGGCGCGUAGGCGGUCAUGUAAGUCUUGUGUGAAAUCCCUCGGCUCAACUGGGGAACUGCACAGGAAACUGCGUGGCUUGAGUUCGGGAGAGGGAAGCGGAAUUCCGGGUGUAGCGGUGAAAUGCGCAGAUAUCCGGAGGAACACCGGUGGCGAAGGCGGCUUCCUGGACCGUAACUGACGCUGAGGCGCGAAAGCUAGGGGAGCAAACGGGAUUAGAUACCCCGGUAGUCCUAGCUGUAAACGAUGAGUGCUGGGUGUAGGGGGUAUUAACCCCCCCUGUGCCGAAGCUAACGCAUUAAGCACUCCGCCUGGGGAGUACGGUCGCAAGGCUG
This 377-nucleotide ribosomal RNA is filed under the name uncultured bacterium. RNAcentral's name for it is "bacterial SSU rRNA". It matches the Rfam family "Bacterial small subunit ribosomal RNA", at positions 521 to 896 of the family's 1533-position model. The record is from RNAcentral.